UUUCAUUGCAGUUUGCAUAAGAAAGACAUCCCGUCACAUUAUUUUUUUCUAUGUGCCUGUGGCAUUAUAUACAUUUUAAGUUAAAUUUAUUGGAUUAACAUUCAUCUCCUUUUACAAGAAAACAAAUCCGAGAGAUUUGCGAUAAUAAACCCUGCAAAUACCUGAAUAAAACACACUAAUCAGUCGAACUCUGUUCAAAGUUCUAAGAAUGAUAUGCACCAAGAAGAGAAGUAUACCUGUAUGCAUCCAAAGAUGUAUAUGGCAGAG
RNAcentral lists this long non-coding RNA (267 nucleotides) under Olea europaea (common olive). RNAcentral's name for it is "long non-coding RNA (OEUR_LNC002827)". Lineage: Eukaryota; Viridiplantae; Streptophyta; Magnoliopsida; Lamiales; Oleaceae. The record is from RNAcentral.